Phaseolus vulgaris (common bean) is the source of this 119-nucleotide non-coding RNA. The record is from Rfam. NCBI's taxonomy places the organism in Eukaryota, Viridiplantae, Streptophyta, Magnoliopsida, Fabales, Fabaceae.
AGGUGCGAUCAUACCAGCACUAAUGCAUCGGAUCCCAUCAGAACUCCGCAGAUAAGCUCGCUUGGGCGAGAGUAGUACUAGGAUGGGUGACCUCCUGGGAAGUCCUCGUGUUGCACUUC